CUCACUGGUCGAGUGAUCCUGCGCCGAAGAUUUCCGGGGCUAAAACUUACUACCGAAGCGACGGCAUCAGUAAUGAUGGGUAGGGGAGCUUCCCAUACGGGUUGAAGCAUGACCGUAAGGACAUGGGGACAGUAUGGGAGUGAGAAUGUUGGCAGGAGUAGCGAGAUGUGGGUGGGAAUCCCACAGGCCGUAAACCCAAGGUUUCCAGGGGAAGGUUCGUCCGCCCUGGGUUAGUCGGGACCUAAGCUGAGGCCGAAAGGCGUAGGUGAUGGACAACAGGUUGAUAUUCCUGUACUACCGAUAACCGUUUGAGAGAAGGGAUGACACAG
This 329-nucleotide ribosomal RNA is filed under the name Clostridioides difficile. RNAcentral's name for it is "bacterial LSU rRNA". It matches the Rfam family "Bacterial large subunit ribosomal RNA", at positions 1141 to 1477 of the family's 2925-position model. Lineage: Bacteria; Bacillati; Bacillota; Clostridia; Peptostreptococcales; Peptostreptococcaceae. The record is from RNAcentral.